CUACGGGGUGCUGCAGUGAGGAAUAUUGCACAAUGGGGGGAACCCUGAUGCAGCAACGCCGCGUGGAGGAUGACGCAUUUCGGUGUGUAAACUCCUUUUAUAUGUCAAGAAAAUGACGGUAGCAUAUGAAUAAGCACCGGCUAACUCCGUGCCAGCAGCCGCGGUAAUACGGAGGGUGCAAGCGUUACUCGGAAUCACUGGGCGUAAAGGACGCGUAGGCGGGUUGGAAAGUCAGGUGUGAAAUCCUACAGCUUAACUGUAGAACUGCACUUGAAACUUCUAAUCCAGAGUAUGGGAGGGGGAGAUGGAAUUAGUGGUGUAGGGGUAAAAUCCGUAGAUAUCACUAGGAAUACCUAAAGCGAAGGCGACCUCCUGGAACAUUACUGACGCUAAGGCGUGAAAGCGUGGGGAGCAAACAGGAUUAGAUACCCUAGUAGUC
RNAcentral lists this ribosomal RNA (439 nucleotides) under uncultured bacterium. RNAcentral's name for it is "partial 16S ribosomal RNA". It matches the Rfam family "Bacterial small subunit ribosomal RNA", at positions 339 to 795 of the family's 1533-position model. The record is from RNAcentral.